GGAGGUUUAGGCUCAGUUGGGAGAGCAUCUGCCUUACAAGCAGAGGGUCAGCGGUUCGAGCCCGUUAACCUCCACCA
Molecule: transfer RNA, 77 nt
Filed under: Erysipelothrix sp. Poltava
Lineage: Bacteria; Bacillati; Bacillota; Erysipelotrichia; Erysipelotrichales; Erysipelotrichaceae
Description: tRNA-Val
Rfam family: tRNA
About the family: Transfer RNA (tRNA) molecules are approximately 80 nucleotides in length. Their secondary structure includes four short double-helical elements and three loops (D, anti-codon, and T loops).
Source: RNAcentral